This 68-nucleotide transfer RNA is filed under the name Bryanellocoris orientalis. RNAcentral describes it as "tRNA-Thr". Lineage: Eukaryota; Metazoa; Arthropoda; Insecta; Hemiptera; Rhyparochromidae. The record is from RNAcentral.
GUUUUAAUAAUUUAAACAUAAGAAUAAUGAUCUUGUAAAUCAUAAGUAGGAUUUUAACCUUUAAAACU